Molecule: ribosomal RNA, 1361 nt
Filed under: uncultured bacterium
Lineage: Bacteria
Description: bacterial SSU rRNA
Rfam family: Bacterial small subunit ribosomal RNA
Source: RNAcentral
AUUGAACGCUGGCGGCAGGCCUAACACAUGCAAGUCGAGCGGUAGCACAGAGAGCUUGCUCUCGGGUGACGAGCGGCGGACGGGUGAGUAAUGUCUGGGAAACUGCCUGAUGGAGGGGGAUAACUACUGGAAACGGUAGCUAAUACCGCAUAAUGUCGCAAGACCAAAGUGGGGGACCUUCGGGCCUCAUGCCAUCAGAUGUGCCCAGAUGGGAUUAGCUAGUAGGUGGGGUAACGGCUCACCUAGGCGACGAUCCCUAGCUGGUCUGAGAGGAUGACCAGCCACACUGGAACUGAGACACGGUCCAGACUCCUACGGGAGGCAGCAGUGGGGAAUAUUGCACAAUGGGCGCAAGCCUGAUGCAGCCAUGCCGCGUGUGUGAAGAAGGCCUUCGGGUUGUAAAGCACUUUCAGCGGGGAGGAAGGCGGUGAGGUUAAUAACCUCAUCGAUUGACGUUACCCGCAGAAGAAGCACCGGCUAACUCCGUGCCAGCAGCCGCGGUAAUACGGAGGGUGCAAGCGUUAAUCGGAAUUACUGGGCGUAAAGCGCACGCAGGCGGUCUGUCAAGUCGGAUGUGAAAUCCCCGGGCUCAACCUGGGAACUGCAUUCGAAACUGGCAGGCUAGAGUCUUGUAGAGGGGGGUAGAAUUCCAGGUGUAGCGGUGAAAUGCGUAGAGAUCUGGAGGAAUACCGGUGGCGAAGGCGGCCCCCUGGACAAAGACUGACGCUCAGGUGCGAAAGCGUGGGGAGCAAACAGGAUUAGAUACCCUGGUAGUCCACGCCGUAAACGAUGUCGAUUUGGAGGUUGUGCCCUUGAGGCGUGGCUUCCGGAGCUAACGCGUUAAAUCGACCGCCUGGGGAGUACGGCCGCAAGGUUAAAACUCAAAUGAAUUGACGGGGGCCCGCACAAGCGGUGGAGCAUGUGGUUUAAUUCGAUGCAACGCGAAGAACCUUACCUGGUCUUGACAUCCACAGAACUUUCCAGAGAUGGAUUGGUGCCUUCGGGAACUGUGAGACAGGUGCUGCAUGGCUGUCGUCAGCUCGUGUUGUGAAAUGUUGGGUUAAGUCCCGCAACGAGCGCAACCCUUAUCCUUUGUUGCCAGCGGUUAGGCCGGGAACUCAAAGGAGACUGCCAGUGAUAAACUGGAGGAAGGUGGGGAUGACGUCAAGUCAUCAUGGCCCUUACGACCAGGGCUACACACGUGCUACAAUGGCAUAUACAAAGAGAAGCGACCUCGCGAGAGCAGGCGGACCUCAUAAAGUAUGUCGUAGUCCGGAUUGGAGUCUGCAACUCGACUCCAUGAAGUCGGAAUCGCUAGUAAUCGUAGAUCAGAAUGCUACGGUGAAUACGUUCCCGGGCCU